UUAUCCUUUGCGAAACUCAUAAAUUGGCCCCAUACCUUAAUUUUCUUUACUUCCCAAACAGACGUUUAACCCCACAACCAAAGUCUAUCCAUUCCAAUAACAACACACACCUGACCUAGAAGAGCCCUCAAGUUAUUCCCUUACUCAUAGGGCUAAAAACACCCACCAGGGCUAAUACAAGAGCAACAGAAUUAGAAACCUCUAUUCAUGAUAAAAAUAGAUGGCACCAGUUAUUACAGAUACCCAAUAGGGCACUGACUUAGUGCUGACUUUACAUAAUCAGGUGGGCUUCCUGGUGGCUAUGGCCCUUCAAAAUCCACAGGCGCUUGACCUUAUGCUGGGGAAAAAAAGGAGGCCUAUGUGUCUUUCUCCAGGAGGAAUGCUGUUUUUAUGUCAAAGAAUCCAACAUAGUUAGGGACACAGUUGAAGAACUUAAAAAAAAAAAAAAAACUGGCCACAAAAAUAGCUAAAAGAGACGACUCUUGUUUGGGUAUGGGCCUCCUAGGGUGCUUCUGGCCCUGGAUAGCCCCCCUCACUGGGCAUUUUCUAAUGAUUCUCGUAGUCCUUGCAUCCUCAACUGUCUCCAGAAUUUCCUGAUGGACCAGAUAAAGAUUUUCACCAAACAGAUGGUCAACCAAAUGGUUUUGGGUAACUACACGAGACUCCAUCCUGAGAGACUCCCAGAAGGUUACAGAACAAUCACACCUGGAAAGUCUAAAAAUCCCUAACCCCAAGGCCCCCACACCUUUUGCCCAGAGACCACUGCACUGCCCCUUCCCAGCAGGAUGUAGUUAUAGAAGACUGACCUCCAGCCUUCUAUCAUAAUAAAACACAGAGCGGGGAAUGAUGGGAUAUCCUAGACAUUAGUAACUCCACAUUGGCUUUGGCCUCCAUCUUGACUCGAAACUGAAACUUAUCAACUUCCAAGGAAAAGAAACUUAAGAUACCCUGUUCCCAUAACUGUUAGGUUGGUGGUGGUGACUUGGUGGUGACUUACUGGCAACUUAGAACAAAGCAGCCCGUGCCGGAAAAGAACAUCAAUCAGCUGCCGGCGGAAAUACUUGUCAAUCAGCCAGAUCUCCUGACUAACGUCUGUCAAUCAGCAGGACCCCCUGGCCAAUCCUGGAGUUCAGCCAACUCCCCUGACCAACUCCAAGGGGGCAAGGGACCCUAAGAACACCUUUUCCUGUCCCGAGCCCUUCCCUUCCAGCUGUAAGCCCCAUAAAAGUCCAGUCCGGUCGAGCUUCCACGCGGUUUCUCCUCAGACCCUUCCCCUGUCCCCUCUGUGGGUCUGAUUGAGUUCCGCCCGGGAGUGAGAUCUCAAUAAAGCCUGUUCAGAGGCCCUUUUAAAUCUGCCUCCUUUGACCGCUG
This 1371-nucleotide long non-coding RNA is filed under the name Marmota monax (woodchuck). Lineage: Eukaryota; Metazoa; Chordata; Mammalia; Rodentia; Sciuridae. The record is from RNAcentral.